Molecule: non-coding RNA, 2457 nt
Organism: Phalacrocorax carbo (great cormorant)
Lineage: Eukaryota; Metazoa; Chordata; Aves; Suliformes; Phalacrocoracidae
Source: RefSeq, a predicted model, not a curated record
AGCCGGGGGAACUCGUGCUCCCGGAGGUGGCGGAGCUGGCCGUCGUAGCCGUAGCCGUACCCGGCGGGGCAGGUGGCCUGGAAGGCGCGGAAGGAGAGCAGCUGCCCCCCGGCCAUGCCGCGGGCUGCAGGCGGGAAGGGGCAGGGGGGUGGGGAGGAAAGCCUGACCAAAACAGCGGCGCGACUGCCCCCGGGCAGCGGAGCCUCCCCGCCGGCAGCGCUGCGGACGGGCACUGCCGCCGGGCAGGCACUGCCACCGGCCCGGCCCGGCCCGGCCCGGCCCCGCCGCGCCUCGCUCCUCCCGCCUCCCGCCCCUGCGGCUGUCCGCGCCCCGCCUGCCCGGGGCCAGGGGCCGGGCAGAGCCCGCAGCGGUCCGGCUGCGGCUGAGGAAGGGCUUCGGACCCGAAGAGGGAGGCGGUGGGCGCCAUGUGCGGUGCCGUGGCCCGGCCGGGCCCGGUCGCUGGCUGCGGCCGGCGUUGGCGGGCGCGGUGGUCGCUCCGCCGCUCUUUGAGGUGGAUGGAGCCCCAGAGGGGCCCCGGGCCUGGCAGCGCUAAAACCGGAGCCCACUCGGCUGCAGCGUGGCCUCCUGCCGGCGCCCGGCCGCGGGCGGCGGCGCCCGCGGAUCCCCGAGCCCAGGGGCCCGAGCAGGGCCAGCCCGACGGCAAGCGUCCCGAAGCACAGGGGCAUCGGGUUUGGGUCCGCGGGAGCAAGCGUGCCUCUGCUCACAUCCUCUCCUAUUGAGGCACGCUGUUUAAAAUAGGGAUAGCUGAUGGAAAUCUCUUCCCUAAAAUUUUCAAGUUUAAUGCUCAAAUUUCUUCAUUUCCUCUAAAUGGUGCCCCUUCCACCGCUGCUAAUAGGCAGUGGGAGUCCCUUUCUCACGCCAUGCAUUUGGUGUAGGAUACUCUUCCAUGGUACCACUACAUGAUACUGUGUAUCCUACGUAGCAGUAUCAUAGCGGAGGUACACAGCGUACUAACACAGUGCAAGUACUCCUCCGCCAUGGGUACAUAGGGAUACACCCUGUGUAUGGUACAGGAUACUCCAACAUGCUUAACUGGCUCUACUGGCCAUAGAUGCCAUAUGGGCAAUGUAUAGAAAGGACCACGGCUGGCCAAAAGGUUAAGGAGUGGUAUUGGCUUGUUGCCAGGUGUAGAGAUAACAUCAGCCAUCCAUGUAAAAGCAUUUGCUUUGUAGGAUAAACUAUAACCAUACGCAUACACAAAAAAAAACCAACCCAUAGCCAAAGGAACGUUUUGGGAAGGGGUUGGGCUUUGUUUUGUUUUCUCAUUACAAAAAAUAAUUUUUUCCUGACAUACUAUUUGUAAUGAAUUUUUCUACACACAGCUCUGCAAUCUGCAGAGAGUUAAAUGACCCCCCAGUCCAGUAAUAAAAUAAAACUGCACGUGUUAGGAUGGAUCUGCCUCUGAAUUCUGGUGCCAAAAACAGACGAAAUACAAGGACAUUGUCAUAUCAUCUGCAAAACCCCCUGCUUCACUUUGGUGUGCUAUAUCAAGGUGAACAAAACACCUCUGUCGAGAAAGAAUGGUUGCCAUCAAGUGGAGGGAUGUUUUUAGCUGAUCUCCUGAAGUCACUUUUUUUUUAAAACCACAGCCCUGCACAUAAAUUUUUUUAGUUUAAUAAUUUAUACACUGCAAUUUAGAAGGGCCUAUCCCAUCACUAUGACUUCUUUUUUUUUACUGCAAGUAUAUGUAGAAAAUACCCACCGUGGAUUUUUCCUCAUAUUUCUAGUUUCCUAUUAUCAGUUUCCAGAGCAAUUUAUUUAUAUUGAUCGCUAUGCGUAGUUCCCACACCAUUUUCAUAUAUUGUGUAUGUCAAAUAGUUGUUUUCACUUCCUUAUUGAACCAAGAGUUGUUUUCCCCACCAAAACAGUCCUUUUUCUUGAUGACAGAAUGCAGCUUUCUGAUCUUACAAUAAAUUCUUUCUAAAGAUCUAAUUUCCAUUCACAUUUUUAUAUAAAAAUGUUUCCUCACAGUCAAUUUCCGUCUUUUUUUUUUCUUUUUACUCCUGGUUUUGGAAGAGUAGCCCUUUGGAAGCAACACACACAUGGAGAUAGUGCUAAUUGGGAAUGUGCUCUGUUUGCACAUUGCAUGUAAUCUGGUGAUGAUCACUGAUCCCCGGGGAUUUACCAGUUUCCAGCACAGGACGUAGCUCACCUUCAUCCAUCAUAAAGGCUGACCAGAUUCUUCUAAAAAACAAGAGUCAUUUAGGUCAUUCUCUGUCACUAUAGACGUUUUUGUGUUUGAAAAUUAGCAUAACUUGUAAAAACUAACUAGGUUGUACUGCUGGCUCUAUUUCUGAGGUAAAAGCUGGAGAUGUCACGGAAUUUCCGCAUGAAACCGUAGUUUUUCCAUCUGCACAUUGCAGGUUCAUAGUUACAGAGUAACUUUUCCUCUUCUCUGGUUAUCAGGUGAAGCCUGGGGAUCAGUCCAUGUAAGCG